RNAcentral lists this ribosomal RNA (476 nucleotides) under uncultured organism. RNAcentral's name for it is "SSU rRNA". It matches the Rfam family "Bacterial small subunit ribosomal RNA", at positions 8 to 509 of the family's 1533-position model. The record is from RNAcentral.
AGAGUUUGAUCCUGGCUCAGGACAAACGCUGGCGGCGUGCCUAACACAUGCAAGUCGAACGGGCCCUUUGGGGCUAGUGGCAGACGGGUGAGUAACACGUAGGUAAUGUACCUUCUCGCUGGGGAUACCUACCCGAAAGGGUGGUUAAUACCGAAUAGUCUCGCGUUGCGGCAUCGCGAUGUGAGUAAAGUGUUUUAGCGCGGGAGGAUCAGCCUGCGGGCCAUCAGCUGGUUGGUGGGGUAACGGCCUACCAAGGCAUCGACGGUUAGCCGGUCUGAGAGGAUGAUCGGCCACACUGGAACUGAGACACGGUCCAGACUCCUACGGGAGGCAGCAGUGAGGAAUAUUGCGCAAUGGGCGGAAGCCUGACGCAGCGACGCCGCGUGAGGGAUGAAGGUUUUCGGAUCGUAAACCUCUGUUAAGCAGGGAAGAGAACGGACGGUACCUGCUGAGGAAGCAUCGGCUUACUACGUGCC